AGGACGAACGCUGGCGGCGUGCUUAACACAUGCAAGUCGAGCGGAAAGGCCCUUCGGGGUACUCGAGCGGCGAACGGGUGAGUAACACGUGGGCAACCUGCCCCUAGCUCUGGGAUAACUCCGGGAAACCGGGGCUAAUACCGGAUACGAUCUUCCAUGGCAUCUCGGAAGAUGGAAGGUUUUUUCGGCUAGGGAUGGGCCCGCGGCCUAUCAGCUUGUUGGUGAGGUAACGGCCACCAAGGCGACGACGGGUAGCCGGCCUGAGACGGGCGACGGCCACGACUGGGACUGGAGACACGGCCCAGACUCCACGGGAGCAGCAGUGGGAAUAUUGCGCAAGUGGCGAAAGCCUGACGCAGCGACGCGCGUGAGGGAUGGAAGGUCCGUUGGGUAGUAACCGUUCUUCAGCGAGGACGAAGCGGAGAGUGACGGUACUGACAGAAGACGCGACCG
Molecule: ribosomal RNA, 453 nt
Filed under: uncultured soil bacterium
Lineage: Bacteria
Description: bacterial SSU rRNA
Rfam family: Bacterial small subunit ribosomal RNA
Source: RNAcentral